CCUACGGGCGGCUGCAGUGAGGAAUAUUGGUCAAUGGGCGCAAGCCUGAACCGGCCAAGUCGCGUGAGGGAUGACGGUCCUAUGGAUUGUAAACCUCUUUUGUCGGGGAGCAAGGCCCGCCACGUGUGGCGGGAAGGAGAGUACCCGAAGAAAAAGCAUCGGCUAACUCCGUGCCAGCAGCCGCGGUAAUACGGAGGAUGAGAGCGUUAUCCGGCUUUAUUGGGUUUAAAGGGUGCGUAGGCGGAAGGUUAAGUCAGCGGUCAAAUGUCGGUGCUCAACACCGGCCUGCCGUUGAAACUGGUCGUCUUGAGUGAGCGAGAAGUAUGCGGAAUGCGUGGUGUAGCGGUGAAAUGCAUAGAUAUCACGAAGAACUCCGAUUGCGAAGGCAGCAUACCGGCGCGCAACUGACGCUGAGGCACGAAAGCGUGGGGAUCGAACAGGAUUAGAUACCCUAGUAGUC
This 460-nucleotide ribosomal RNA is filed under the name uncultured bacterium. RNAcentral describes it as "partial 16S ribosomal RNA". It matches the Rfam family "Bacterial small subunit ribosomal RNA", at positions 338 to 795 of the family's 1533-position model. The record is from RNAcentral.